GGAAUAUUGGUCAAUGGACGGAAGUCUGAACCAGCCAAGUAGCGUGCAGGAUGACGGCCCUAUGGGUUGUAAACUGCUUUUGUAUGGGGAUAAAGUUAGGGACGUGUCCCUAUUUGCAGGUACCAUACGAAUAAGGACCGGCUAAUUCCGUGCCAGCAGCCGCGGUAAUACGGAAGGUCCAGGCGUUAUCCGGAUUUAUUGGGUUUAAAGGGAGCGUAGGCUGGAGAUUAAGUGUGUUGUGAAAUGUAGACGCUCAACGUCUGAAUUGCAGCGCAUACUGGUUUCCUUGAGUACGCACAACGUUGGCGGAAUUCGUCGUGUAGCGGUGAAAUGCUUAGAUAUGACGAAGAACUCCGAUUGCGAAGGCAGCUGACGGGAGCGCAACUGACGCUUAAGCUCGAAGGUGCGGGUAUCAAACAGGA
RNAcentral lists this unclassified non-coding RNA (422 nucleotides) under plant metagenome. RNAcentral's name for it is "partial contains 5.8S ribosomal RNA, internal transcribed spacer 2, and large subunit ribosomal RNA". It matches the Rfam family "Bacterial small subunit ribosomal RNA", at positions 358 to 777 of the family's 1533-position model. The record is from RNAcentral.